RNAcentral lists this ribosomal RNA (301 nucleotides) under uncultured bacterium. Its description in RNAcentral is "partial 16S ribosomal RNA". It matches the Rfam family "Bacterial small subunit ribosomal RNA", at positions 509 to 810 of the family's 1533-position model. The record is from RNAcentral.
CAGUAGCCGCGGGAAUACGUAGGUGGCGAGCGUUGUCCGGAAUCAUUGGGCGUAAAGGGAGCGCAGGCGGGCAUGUAAGUCUUUCUUAAAAGUUCGGGGCUCAACCCCGUGAUGGGAAAGAAACUACAUGUCUUGAGUACAGGAGAGGAAAGCGGAAUUCCCAGUGUAGCGGUGAAAUGCGUAGAUAUUGGGAGGAACACCAGUGGCGAAGGCGGCUUUCUGGACAAAACUGACGCUGAGGCGCGAAAGCCAGGGGAGCGAACGGGAUUAGAUACCCGCGUAGUCCCUGUCUCUUAUACAC